Molecule: ribosomal RNA, 305 nt
Filed under: uncultured bacterium
Lineage: Bacteria
Description: bacterial SSU rRNA
Rfam family: Bacterial small subunit ribosomal RNA
Source: RNAcentral
UCCUACGGGGCGCAGCAGUGGGGAAUAUUGCACAAUGGGGGAAACCCUGAUGCAGCGACGCCGCGUGAGUGAAGAAGUAAUUCGUUAUGUAAAGCUCUAUCAGCAGGGAAGAAAAUGACGGUACCUGAGUAAGAAGCCCCGGCUAACUACGUGCCAGCAGCCGCGGUAAUACGUAGGGGGCAAGCGUUAUCCGGAUUUACUGGGUGUAAAGGGAGCGUAGACGGUAGGGCAAGUCUGGAGUGAAAGGCGGGGGCUCAACCCCCGGACUGCUCUGGAAACUGCCAGGCUGGAGUGCAGGAGAGGUA